Molecule: ribosomal RNA, 274 nt
Filed under: uncultured bacterium
Lineage: Bacteria
Description: partial 16S ribosomal RNA
Rfam family: Bacterial small subunit ribosomal RNA
Source: RNAcentral
AUACGGAGGGUGCAAGCGUUACUCGGAAUCACUGGGCGUAAAGCGCGCGCAGGCGGCUUGAUAAGUUGGAUGUGAAAGCCUACGGCUCAACCGUAGAACUGCAUCCAAAACUAUUAGACUAGAGUGUGGGAGAGGAAGAUGGAAUUAGUUGUGUAGGGGUAAAAUCCGUAGAGAUAACUAGGAAUACCAAAAGCGAAGGCAAUCUUCUGGAACACUACUGACGCUGAGGCGCGAAAGCGUGGGGAGCAAACAGGAUUAGAUACCCCGGUAGUCC